This 468-nucleotide ribosomal RNA is filed under the name uncultured bacterium. RNAcentral's name for it is "partial 16S ribosomal RNA". It matches the Rfam family "Bacterial small subunit ribosomal RNA", at positions 28 to 507 of the family's 1533-position model. The record is from RNAcentral.
GACGAACGCUGGCGGCGUGCUUAAUACAUGCAAGUCGAACGGAAAGACCCUGCUUUUGUGGGGUGCUCGAGUGGCGAGCGGGUGAGUAACACGUGAGUAACCUGCCCUUGACUUUGGGAUAACUUCAGGAAACUGGGGCUAAUACCGGAUAGGAGCUCCUGCUGCAUGGUGGGGGUUGGAAAGUUUCGGCGGUAGGGGAUAGACUCGCGGCUUAUCAGCUUGUUGGUGGGGUAGUUGCUUACCAAGGUUUUGACGGGUAGCCGGCAUGAGAGGUUGAACGGGCACAAGGCGACUGAGAUACGGAGCAGACUCGAACGGGAGGCAAUAGGGGAAAGUAUUGCGCAGUGGGGCGGAGCGAGUGGCGAAGGCGCCGCGUGCGGAAUGCCGGCCUUCGAGGUGAGAACCACUUUCGCAGGUGACGAAGAGGGAGUGACGGUAAUGGGUAAAGAAGCACCGGCUAACUACGUG